This 1026-nucleotide ribosomal RNA is filed under the name Triticum aestivum (bread wheat). RNAcentral's name for it is "partial small subunit ribosomal RNA". Lineage: Eukaryota; Viridiplantae; Streptophyta; Magnoliopsida; Poales; Poaceae. The record is from RNAcentral.
GCGUAUGAUUUCUACAACAGCUAUGCUAGAGUUACUGGUUUCAGCAUUAGAAAGAAUAAGGUCAAGUAUAGCAAAACUGAGUCACAUCAUAUGCGUUAUAGGCGGUUUGUUUGUUCCAGACAAGGGAAACAUGACAGCAAGUUGCUAACAGAGGAAGGACACAGCCGUAGGCUCAGACCCGAGACACGCUGCUUUUGUGAAGCACAUCUGACCGUCAAGCUUGACCAAAAGCGUGGGGUUUGGUAUGUUGAAAGUUUUGAGGACAAGCAUAGCCAUAUGUUGGCAGGACCGGACGAGGUACCUUUUCUUUGGUCCCACAGAAAAAUCAAAGAGUACCAGAAGCAUGAGAUAAUGUCCAUGGGAGCUGCAGGGAUUAGAAUUCAUGACAUGAUGGAUUCCUUCAUCAGCAAACAUGUAUGGUAUGGCGGUGUUGGUUUUACCAGGCGUGAAAUAUACAACCUUUGCGCCAGGGAGAAGAGGAAGCUGCUUUCAAAAGGUGAUGCUGCCACAGCCAUAGGCAUCAUGGCCAGUAGGAAACAGAGGGAUCCUAGCUUCUUUUUCGAGUACAAGCUAGAUAAGGAAGGACACUUGAAUAGGAUGUUCUGGUGUGACUCCCAGUCUCGUCAUGACUACGAGGACUUUGGGGACGUGCUUGUAUUUGACAGCACGUACAAGAUGAACCGCUGUGGUAUGCCAUUCAUACCUUUUGUUGGUCUUAACAAUCACCGGAAGACCACUGUUUUUGGUUGUGCCAUAGUCUCGGACGAGACCGAACAGACAUACGUGUGGCUGCUGCAGACUUUUUUGAGGUGCAUGUGUCAAAAGAUGCCAAAGAGUGUAAUCACAUACGCCGACGCUGCGAUGAUCAAGGCUAUUCGUGAAGUCUUGCCAGACGUGUGGCACCGUAUAUGCACGUGGCAUAUAGAAAAAAAUAUGAAGAUUCACCUCAGUCACAAGUCCUUGAAGGAGUUCCGAACUCUUCUGUACUACAACAUGUCCACGACCACGUUUGAGGAGAGAUGGCAC